This 261-nucleotide ribosomal RNA is filed under the name uncultured archaeon. Its description in RNAcentral is "partial 16S ribosomal RNA". It matches the Rfam family "Archaeal small subunit ribosomal RNA", at positions 748 to 1008 of the family's 1478-position model. The record is from RNAcentral.
AGGGUGUAAACGCUGCGGGCUUGGUGUUGGGGGUCCUUUGAGGGCGCCCAGUGCCGGAGAGAAGUUGUUAAGCCUGCUGCUUGGGGAGUACGUCCGCAAGGAUGAAACUUAAAGGAAUUGGCGGGGGAGCACAACAACGGGUGGAGCUUGCGGUUUAAUUGGAUUCAACGCCGGAAAUCUUACCGGGACCGACAGCAACAUGAAGGCCAAGCUGAAGACUUUGCCGGAUUAGCUGAGAGGUGGUGCAUGGCGUCAGUGACU